UGGGGAAUUUUGGACAAUGGGCGAAAGCCUGAUCCAGCAAUGCCGCGUGUGUGAAGAAGGCCUUCGGGUUGUAAAGCACUUUUGUCCGGAAAGAAAUCCUUGGCUCUAAUACAGUCGGGGGAUGACGGUACCGGAAGAAUAAGCACCGGCUAACUACGUGCCAGCAGCCGCGGUAAUACGUAGGGUGCAAGCGUUAAUCGGAAUUACUGGGCGUAAAGCGUGCGCAGGCGGUUUGCUAAGACCGAUGUGAAAUCCCCGGGCUCAACCUGGGAACUGCAUUGGUGACUGGCAGGCUAGAGUAUGGCAGAGGGGGGUAGAAUUCCACGUGUAGCAGUGAAAUGCGUAGAGAUGUGGAGGAAUACCGAUGGCGAAGGCAGCCCCCUGGGCUAAUACUGACGCUCAUGCACGAAAGCGUGGGGAGCAAACAGGAUUAGAUACCCUGGUAGUCCACGCCCUAAACGAUGUCAACUAGUUGUUGGGGAUUCAUUUCCUUAGUAACGUAGCUAACGCGUGAAGUUGACCGCCUGGGGAGUACGGUCGCAAGAUUAAAACUCAAAUGAAUUGACGGGGUCAUAGCUGUUUCCU
RNAcentral lists this ribosomal RNA (585 nucleotides) under uncultured bacterium. RNAcentral's name for it is "partial 16S ribosomal RNA". It matches the Rfam family "Bacterial small subunit ribosomal RNA", at positions 355 to 1375 of the family's 1533-position model. The record is from RNAcentral.